AUUGAACGCUGGCGGCAGGCCUAACACAUGCAAGUCGGACGGUAGCACAGAGGAGCUUGCUCCUCGGGUGACGAGUGGCGGACGGGUGAGUAAUGUCUGGGGAUCUGCCCGAUAGAGGGGGAUAACCACUGGAAACGGUGGCUAAUACCGCAUAACGUCGCAAGACCAAAGAGGGGGACCUUCGGGCCUCUCACUAUCGGAUGAACCCAGAUGGGAUUAGCUAGUAGGCGGGGUAACGGCCCACCUAGGCGACGAUCCCUAGGUGGUCUGAGAGGAUGACCAGCCACACUGGAACUGAGACACGGUCCAGACUCCUACGGGAGGCAGCAGUGGGGAAUAUUGCACAAUGGGCGCAAGCCUGAUGCAGCCAUGCCGCGUGUAUGAAGAAGGCCUUCGGGUUGUAAAGUACUUUCAGCGGGGAGGAAGGCGAUGUGGUUAAUAACCGCAUUGAUUGACGUUACCCGCAGAAGAAGCACCGGCUAACUCUGUGCCAGCCGCCGCGGUAA
Molecule: ribosomal RNA, 506 nt
Filed under: uncultured bacterium
Lineage: Bacteria
Description: partial 16S ribosomal RNA
Rfam family: Bacterial small subunit ribosomal RNA
Source: RNAcentral